UACAGGGGGGGCAAGCGUUGUUCGGAAUUACUGGGCGUAAAGGGCUUGUAGGUGGCCAACUAAGUCACACGUGAAAUCCCCAGGCUUAACCUGGGAACUGCGUGUGAUACUGGAUGGCUUGAAUCCGGGAGAGGGAUGCGGAAUUCCAGGUGUAGCGGUGAAAUGCGUAGAUAUCUGGAGGAACACCGGAGGCGAAGGCGGCAUCCUGGACCAAUAUUGACGCUGAGGAGCGAAAGCCAGGGGAGCAAACGGG
RNAcentral lists this ribosomal RNA (253 nucleotides) under uncultured bacterium. Its description in RNAcentral is "partial 16S ribosomal RNA". It matches the Rfam family "Bacterial small subunit ribosomal RNA", at positions 524 to 776 of the family's 1533-position model. The record is from RNAcentral.